CAGGUACUCCCUCCGUCUUGAAAUACUUGUCAUCAAAAUUAAUAAAAGGGGAUGUAUCUAGAUAUAUAUUAGUUCUAGAUACAUCAUUUUUUAUCCAUUUAACGACAAAUAUUUUGAGAUGGAGGGAGUACAAC
Molecule: non-coding RNA, 134 nt
Organism: Triticum aestivum (bread wheat)
Lineage: Eukaryota; Viridiplantae; Streptophyta; Magnoliopsida; Poales; Poaceae
Source: Rfam